RNAcentral lists this ribosomal RNA (253 nucleotides) under uncultured bacterium. Its description in RNAcentral is "partial 16S ribosomal RNA". It matches the Rfam family "Bacterial small subunit ribosomal RNA", at positions 524 to 776 of the family's 1533-position model. The record is from RNAcentral.
UACGUAGGGUGCGAGCGUUGUCCGGAAUUAUUGGGCGUAAAGAGCUUGUAGGCGGUUGUUCGCGUCUGCCGUGAAAAUCCGGGGCUCAACCCCGGACUUGCGGUGGGUACGGGCAGACUAGAGUGUGGUAGGGGAGACUGGAAUUCCUGGUGUAGCGGUGAAAUGCGCAGAUAUCAGGAGGAACACCGAUGGCGAAGGCAGGUCUCUGGGCCACUACUGACGCUGAGAAGCGAAAGCGUGGGGAGCGAACAGG